GAAUACCCUUGGAAACCCGGUUUUAAACCCGAUACAAAAAAAAAACCCCCAUUUUUUAAUUAAAAGGCUUCUUCGGGUUCCAUAAAAAAGGCCCCCCGGGUCCUUUAAUUUUGGUGGGAGGAAACGCUCCACCAAAGGCCCAGGAUACUUCGCCCCCCUGGAGGGGUUUUUCGCCCCCUUGGGGAUUGGGCCCCGCCCCAAAUUUCUUGGGGGGGGCCACCGUGAGGUAUUUUUGGCCAAUGGAAAAAAUUUCGAACCCAACAACCCCCGCUUGAUGAAAAAAGUUUUCGGAUUGUAAAAUUUUGUUUUUAAAAAAGAACAAGGAUGAGGGUAACUGUUCAUCCCUUGACGGUAUCUAACCAGAAAGCCAGGGCUAAUUACGUGCCAGCAGCCGCGGUAAUACGUAGGUGGCAAGCGUUGUCCGGAUUUAUUGGGCGUAAAGCGAGCGCAGGCGGUUUCUUAAGUCUGAUGUGAAAGCCCCCGGCUCAACCGGGGAGGGUCAUUGGAAACUGGGAGACUUGAGUGCAGAAGAGGAGAGUGGAAUUCCAUGUGUAGCGGUGAAAUGCGUAGAUAUAUGGAGGAACACCAGUGGCGAAGGCGGCUCUCUGGUCUGUAACUGACGCUGAGGCUCGAAAGCGUGGGGAGCAAACAGGAUUAGAUACCCUGGUAGUCCACGCCGUAAACGAUGAGUGCUAAGUGUUGGAGGGUUUCCGCCCUUCAGUGCUGCAGCUAACGCAUUAAGCACUCCGCCUGGGGAGUACGACCGCAAGGUUGAAACUCAAAGGAAUUGACGGGGGCCCGCACAAGCGGUGGAGCAUGUGGUUUAAUUCGAAGCAACGCGAAGAACCUUACCAGGUCUUGACAUCCUUUGACCACUCUAGAGAUAGAGCUUCCCCUUCGGGGGCAAAGUGACAGGUGGUGCAUGGUGGUCGUCAGCUCGUGUCGUGAGAUGUUGGGUUAAGUCCCGCAACGAGCGCAACCCUUAUUGUUAGUUGCCAUCAUUCAGUUGGGCACUCUAGCAAGACUGCCGGUGACAAACCGGAGGAAGGUGGGGAUGACGUCAAAUCAUCAUGCCCCUUAUGACCUGGGCUACACACGUGCUACAAUGGGAAGUACAACGAGUCGCGAAGUCGCGAGGCUAAGCUAAUCUCUUAAAGCUUCUCUCAGUUCGGAUUGCAGGCUGCAACUCGCCUGCAUGAAGCCGGAAUCGCUAGUAAUCGCGGAUCAGCACGCCGCGGUGAAUACGUUCCCGGGCCUUGUACACACCGCCCGUCACACCACGAGAGUUUGUAACACCCGAAGUCGGUGAGGUAACCUUUGGAGCCAGCCGCCUAAGGUGGAUGAAGUUGA
This 1350-nucleotide ribosomal RNA is filed under the name Enterococcus faecium. Its description in RNAcentral is "partial 16S ribosomal RNA". It matches the Rfam family "Bacterial small subunit ribosomal RNA", at positions 142 to 1474 of the family's 1533-position model. Lineage: Bacteria; Bacillati; Bacillota; Bacilli; Lactobacillales; Enterococcaceae. The record is from RNAcentral.